Molecule: long non-coding RNA, 1880 nt
Organism: Anguilla rostrata (American eel)
Lineage: Eukaryota; Metazoa; Chordata; Actinopteri; Anguilliformes; Anguillidae
Exons: 2
Source: RefSeq, a predicted model, not a curated record
GAAAUGGCUCCCAUGACCUCUUCUAGCUUGAAACUAGGUUUGCGCAAAUACAAAAAUAUGAGGCUGUCAUAUAUUAAUAGUAUUAAAUCGUGCACCCACUUCUGUGGCUAAAGGCUAAAAACAUAGGCUGUUGAGAGUUCCAGCAGUAAUAUUAUUUAGACGGACCUCCACAGAAAAGUUCGCCAAAUGUAGCUAGCUAGUCUACUUGGCUAACUGCACGCAGAACGCAUGGAAUAAGUUUCAUUACGUUUGAAAUGCACGUUUUUUACUUAAGCUAUGUUAGCAACACAAGUCACUAUUAAAACAGUCCGGAAAGCAUAACCCAAAUACCCAAGUUAAUUACCAUUCUUCACGGCAGCUGGAUAGACCUUGACUUGGCUCCCGUAUAUGCGCGCUACAUAGCGGAUGGAUAGCUAAACCAUUAAGCCACAUUACAGAAUAAUUGACAAAGCUAGAUAGGAUCCAUAUUCAGAUUGACAUCCAAUCUCACUCAAAGAUAUGCGAAAACGGACGGCUAAUUAGGCAACAUAAAACUAUUCUUUGACGUUUUUAAGUUAGAAAUCCGGAAGAUCAACGUAACUCAGCUGGCUGGCUACCUAACCAGGUUGGAACUGCCGAAAUGGAGAAGCGGAGGCUGAGAGCGAAGAGGGGGGAAUUUGUCUGGGCCCCAGCUGGCGUCUCGUCUGCCUCAUCUACGCAGCUGCUUCGGCCGAGCCGCGCGGAACAAAAGCCGCUGACCUUCUACGCCGCGCGCCGCACCGUCUUUAUUAAGCGCAUUCUGCGCUGGAAAGAAAGCUGGCGGGAGUUCAGCGCAAGAGCAGCGCCUCGUGCUCGAUUGUCCCGAGUCUGUCCUCGCACCACCUGCCCCUCUUUGCUUUCUUCCUGUUAUCUAGCGUCUCCCCCCCCCCCCCCCCACUUCACAUCAGAUUCCUAAGCUUCGCCAUUGAGUAGUUCCCAUCCCUUUGCCUCCCGCGUAUCCGUCGAACAAAGCAUGCGCCGCAGCAACACAUUUUAGCACCAAAGGCGUUAAUAUAAUGAUCUGUUAUGUUCCCCCAAUUGACUGCGUAUUCCCAUUGUGACUCAAUUAGCCUUGUCAACAAUGAUUCAAUUUGUCUCCCAGAAUGUAAAGGGAAUGAAUUAAUUAAACAUAAAAUGGACCGAUAUGAUGGUUAAUUUUAAUCAGAUAUUCCCACACUAAGUUACUCCAUGGCUCCAUACCCCUUCGGGACAGAGUUAUUUUUUCCUUAAUUUAGUUUUAAUUAAUAAUAAGGCUUGAAUUUAAUUUAACUCAAGGUACAUCGAAAUGGCGCAGAUUUAAUUAACUGAAUGAUGGAAUUGCUAGAUCCAUUUCCUCUCGCUAUUAUCGCAUUUAGGUGGAGGCUGCAGCGCGGGAGCGAUUUUAACCGGUUUUUACCGGUCUUUUGUGCUUCCAGCUGACUCAGGGGGGGGGUCUAAAGAUAGGAAAUAAAUGGGGAAGACAUAAAGCAGGGAUGGUCAGUUUCAGAUUCUCUCAAGAUUCUGUCUUUUGUUUUCUAGCACUUUCCACACACAGAGCAGAGCACUGAUCUCUGGGUCUCGCCACAGUGCUGUUGUUUGGCAACAAUAUGUGCUGCAGGUCACAGAGGAAAUGUGAAAUAAUUGUUGGGAGGAAAUGAACAAACUGACCACUAAAUGCUUCCUGUGAAAUCUCCUCAGUCCCUGUCUGUCGGAUUGUUGUGAACAUUUUUGUUGCUGAAGAGUUGGUGAAACAGUCUAGGUGCCCGGAUGAAAACAAGGGCUACAUAUGGUUGAAAAGUUAAAGUUGUCUAGCCAACUAUGACGUAGCCAGGCUACAUCCAAGGAACACCUGGGCCAAAUUGUGGUUAACCUAGUCUGCUUAU